This 494-nucleotide ribosomal RNA is filed under the name uncultured bacterium. RNAcentral describes it as "partial 16S ribosomal RNA". It matches the Rfam family "Bacterial small subunit ribosomal RNA", at positions 28 to 507 of the family's 1533-position model. The record is from RNAcentral.
GACGAACGCUGGCGGCGUGCUUAACACAUGCAAGUCGAACGGUGAAGCGCCUUCCUUUUUGGUGGGUGUGGAUGAGUGGCGAACGGGUGAGUAACACGUGAGUAACCUGCCCCCUUCUUCUGGAUAACCGCAUGAAAGUGUGGCUAAUACGGGAUAUUCUGGGUCUGUCGCAUGAUGGGUCUGGGAAAGAUAUUGUUUCGGUGGGGGAUGGGCUCGCGGCCUAUCAGCUUGUUGGUGGGGUGAUGGCCUACCAAGGCGGUGACGGGUAGCCGGCCUGAGAGGGUGGACGGUCACACUGGGACUGAGACACGGCCCAGACUCCUACGGGAGGCAGCAGUGGGGAAUAUUGCACAAUGGGCGCAAGCCUGAUGCAGCGACGCCGCGUGAGGGAUGGAGGCCCGCGGGUUGUGAACCUCUUUCGCCAGUGAAGCAGGCCUGCCUCGUUUGUGGGUGGGUUGACGGUAGCUGGAUAAGAAGCGCCGGCUAACUACGUG